RNAcentral lists this transfer RNA (82 nucleotides) under Streptomyces aurantiogriseus. RNAcentral describes it as "tRNA-Leu(cag)". Lineage: Bacteria; Bacillati; Actinomycetota; Actinomycetes; Kitasatosporales; Streptomycetaceae. The record is from RNAcentral.
CCGCGCCCUCGGCGAUGGCGCGGCGGACGGCCCUCAGGUGGCCGUGCAGGUAGGCGAUGCGCUCGGGGUCGUGGACGCGGCC